Molecule: small nuclear RNA, 107 nt
Filed under: Dasypus novemcinctus (nine-banded armadillo)
Lineage: Eukaryota; Metazoa; Chordata; Mammalia; Cingulata; Dasypodidae
Source: RNAcentral
GUGCUUGCUUCAGCAGUACAUAUACUAAAACUGGAAUGAUAUAGAGAAGAUUAGUAUGGCCUGUGCACAAGAAUGACAUGCAAAUUCAUGAUGCAUUCCAAAUUUUU